CAAUCAACGAAGGAUUCCAUGAGAUCUGAUUGUAAAGCUUGACCGAUUUCCUUUUCCUAAUUAGGAAUCAAAUCAUGUAAAAAACCAGAAAAUAAAAAUUUGACUUCCUAUCUCAGAAAAUCAAAACCUUGUGCUGCCCGCCAACGGCUGACAGACCAGAAAACCAAACCACGAGCUCCUUCCAAAUGACAAAAAUAUCCCCACCGAUUACCCGCUCACCUUCAUGCUCUUGUCAAUUCACGCAGGAAAAAAAGGGUAUUUUCGUCUUUUCGUAAGUCGGUCACACAUCUUGAGAACAAAUAUAUAUAUAUAUAUAUUUGCAGACGCUCUCGAGAAUCGCACGAGGUUUUAGAAGAGUCCAAGACAGUGAUCCCUUGACUUUCACAGAGGAAAUUGCGAGGAGGAGGAUAAUACAUUGUUACUCGAUCAAGAAAUCCGUCCUAUCAGACUCCGAUUUUGGCUUCUUUUAUAAAUCUUUUAGGCUUUAGGGAUUUCGGCUGGUUCAGCAAUGGCGAAAGCGAGGUACCCUCGGUUUCAAGGGAAGAAGUUCUCGACAUGGACUCUGGUUUUGUCAAUGUUGUUUGUGUUAACAGUUGUUAUCUUCAUGCUUUUGGCUCUCGGAAUUUACUCUCUCCCUAUGAGCAGCGAUGACUCAACGCCCAACGAACUUACUUCCUUUAGGCGUAUGGCCGUUGAAAGAGAUGAGGGGAUGGGAAGCAGAGGAGAGCAAUGGACGGAAGUGAUUUCCUGGGAGCCCAGAGCUUUCCUUUAUCAUAAUUUCUUGUCCAAGGAAGAGUGUGAGUACUUAAUAAAGCUUGCAAAACCUUAUAUGAAAAAAUCAACUGUAGUGGAUAACGAAACUGGUCAGAGUAAAGAUAGCAGGGUUCGUACAAGCUCUGGUAUGUUUUUUACGAGAGGAAGAGAUAAGGUUGUAAGGAACAUUGAAAAAAGGAUUGCAGAUUUCGGUUUUAUUCCUGUAGAGCAUGGAGAAGGACUUCAAAUUCUCCACUAUGAAGUUGGUCAGAAGUAUGAACCACAUUUUGAUUACUUCCUGGACAAUUUCAAUGUCAAACAUGGAGGUCAACGGACUGCCACCAUGCUUAUGUAUCUGUCGGAUGUGGAAGAAGGGGGUGAAACAGUUUUUCCUGUUGCCAAUGUAAAUAUCAGUUCUGUACCAUGGUGGAAUGAAUUGUCUGAAUGUGGUAAAAGAGGGCUUGCUUUGAAGCCAAAAAUGGGCAAUGCUUUGCUCUUCUGGAGCACGAGGCCUGAUGCCACAGUUGAUCCAUCAAGCCUGCAUGGUAGUUGCCCUGUUAUUAAAGGGAACAAAUGGUCAGCUACAAAGUGGAUGCAUAUCAAUGAGUACGGGGUGUAGCUGUGAUGAUAAUGUGUACAGAUGCAACCUACCUCAACAACUACUAAAACUCUCGAAGUGUGUAGGUGGAUAACUGAGUAAAAAAGAGUUUGUGGUGAUUUGGAUAGAAAAGCAAUAUAGGAUAUGGAAUCAUGGAAGGCUAAUCCAACACCUGGUAUAGGCAAACACCGAUAUUCUCACUUCUGUCCUUGCUUCUGCCUGAAUUCCUUUUCUUGUCACGUAUGGUGGUUCUUGAUGGGUUUUUGUAGGUCCAAUUUCUACUGGAUGCAUGUGAAUAGAACCCUCCUAUAAGUCUAUUAGGAUUGACUUUGUAUCAAUGAGAUCUCAUAAUUUAUGCAUUACGAGUAGUUUGGUAUAUUCAUGUCAUAAUAUUAAAUCAGCAAAAUUUAUUUUUUAAAAAAACAUAUGAUCAGCAACAUAUAGCAUUCUUGUUAAGAACUAAAACUUGUACAAAGAAAGUGGAUUUGUGGGUGGAAUCAGUAUUUACAAACAAAAGUAUUUGGUUAUUGGAGAAUCACUUUCGCCUCUUUUUCGACCCUCUUUUUAGUAAUCCGAUUUACUUAGAACUAUUCUCCAGCUAAAUGCAUUUCUGGAUACUACAUUGAUUUAUUUCUAUGUGCAGGAUACAAGAAUACAGGACAAAGGAAAGUGGAGGAGGGAAAAAAAAGAUGCUCAGAAAAAGAAAAACGUUCGACUAUUCAACUGCCAAUUUCAAAUGAGAUGCUGUGCAGUACCUGAUGUGUGCGGCCAGUUUCCAGUCUCCACUCAACCAGUGCAGAACCACCCCCAGCAAGUAUUUCAAUUACUUUGUACCUGAAAGAGGUUCAACCAAAUUUGAAACACAUGCAACAUAAUCCAACUAGUCACCACCUUCUAUGGACCCUACAUGCCAAUUGUGAAAAAACAGCAAGAUAAAUAGAAUUAUUUAUCAUAACCAAGGUUUGACUGUAGUUCCCUUGGGCUCUUCAA
Molecule: RNA transcript, 2341 nt
Organism: Carica papaya (papaya)
Lineage: Eukaryota; Viridiplantae; Streptophyta; Magnoliopsida; Brassicales; Caricaceae
Gene name: putative prolyl 4-hydroxylase 3
Source: RefSeq, a predicted model, not a curated record